Molecule: transfer RNA, 74 nt
Filed under: Muribaculaceae bacterium
Lineage: Bacteria; Pseudomonadati; Bacteroidota; Bacteroidia; Bacteroidales; Muribaculaceae
Description: tRNA-Ile
Rfam family: tRNA
About the family: Transfer RNA (tRNA) molecules are approximately 80 nucleotides in length. Their secondary structure includes four short double-helical elements and three loops (D, anti-codon, and T loops). Further hydrogen bonds mediate the characteristic L-shaped molecular structure. tRNAs have two regions of fundamental functional importance: the anti-codon, which is responsible for specific mRNA codon recognition, and the 3' end, to which the tRNAs corresponding amino acid is attached (by aminoacyl-tRNA synthetases). tRNAs cope with the degeneracy of the genetic code in two manners: having more than one tRNA (with a specific anti-codon) for a particular amino acid; and 'wobble' base-pairing, i.e. permitting non-standard base-pairing at the 3rd anti-codon position.
Source: RNAcentral
GGACUCGUAGCUCAGUUGGUUAGAGCAGCGGCCUCAUAAGCCGAAGGUCACAAGUUCGAUUCUUGUCCGGUCCA